Molecule: ribosomal RNA, 819 nt
Filed under: uncultured eukaryote
Lineage: Eukaryota
Description: SSU rRNA
Rfam family: Eukaryotic small subunit ribosomal RNA
Source: RNAcentral
CGGUGUUUAACUGGCGUGAUGUGGGACGUCCUACCGGUGGGCUUAGCCUCGCGAGGGGCGGCCCAACUAAUAUCCCGUCGCGGUGCUCUUUACUGAGUGUCGAGUCGGGCCGGUACGUUUACUUUGAACAAAUUAGAGUGCUUAAAGCAGGCUAUCCUCGCCUGAAUACUGCGUGCAUGGAAUAAUGGAAUAGGACCUCGGUUCUAUUUUGUUGGUUUUCGGAACCCCGAGGUAAUGAUUAAUAGGGACAGAUGGGGGCAUUCGUAUUGUGACGUUAGAGGUGAAAUUCUUGGAUCGUCGCAAGACGGACAGAAGCGAAAGCAUUUGCCAAAAAUGUUUUCAUUAAUCAAGAACGAAAGUUAGAGGUUCGAAGGCGAUCAGAUACCGCCCUAGUUCUAACCAUAAACGAUGCCAGCUAGCGAUCCGCCGAAGUUCCUCCGAUGACUCGGCGGGCAGCUUCCGGGAAACCAAAGCUUUUGGGUUCCGGGGGAAGUAUGGUUGCAAAGCUGAAACUUAAAGGAAUUGACGGAAGGGCACCACCAGGAGUGGAGCCUGCGGCUUAAUUUGACUCAACACGGGAAACCUCACCAGGCCCAGACACCGGAAGGAUUGACAGAUUGAUAGCUCUUUCUUGAUUCGGUGGGUGGUGGUGCAUGGCCGUUCUUAGUUGGUGGAGCGAUUUGUCUGGUUAAUUCCGAUAACGAACGAGACUCUAGCCUGCUAAAUAGGCGUACCUUAUGGUAUCGCGAAGGCCCCCGGCUUCGGCCGGUGGGUUUUUACUACCAACGUACAAACAAAUCUUCUUAGAGGGACAGGCGG